This 78-nucleotide transfer RNA is filed under the name Ignisphaera aggregans. RNAcentral's name for it is "tRNA-Arg". It matches the Rfam family "tRNA". Rfam says of the family: Transfer RNA (tRNA) molecules are approximately 80 nucleotides in length. The record is from RNAcentral. Lineage: Archaea; Thermoproteati; Thermoproteota; Thermoprotei; Desulfurococcales; Desulfurococcaceae.
GGGCCCGUAGCUCAGCCAGGACAGAGCGCCGGCCUCCUAAGCCGGUGGUCAGGGGUUCGAAUCCCCUCGGGCCCGCCA